RNA transcript from Rosa chinensis, 1450 nucleotides. It is a transcript of the gene named putative acyl-activating enzyme 19, with no coding region annotated. The transcript is spliced from 5 exons. The record is from RefSeq and is a predicted model, not a curated record. NCBI's taxonomy places the organism in Eukaryota, Viridiplantae, Streptophyta, Magnoliopsida, Rosales, Rosaceae.
GAAAUCCCAAAACCUAUCUUGAAGACGUGGCGGCUGAUGAAUACAAUGACAUUUCCGACGAGAUGCUCGACUGGCUCCAGCGAGAUGUUCGACGGGCUCGAAUAAAGCGACGAUGAAAUUGAAAUGGAGUCGUCUGUGGCUGAUGCAGAGUCGGCGAUUCGGGAUGAGGAAUUCAGGUGGCAGAGAGUGGAGAAGCUCUGCGAAGAUGUGAAGCAGUUCGGCGAGGAAAUGAUUGACGAUGGCUUUCUCGCCUCUAUCUACAAUUUCCGAAUCGAUAAAUUUCAGGUGCAUUGGAUUUGAUGAAGAUAUGCUUUAGUCUGCGAGAGUUUCAUCUGUUUUGCUUGACUGAGUGAUUCAAAUGAUGUAAUGAUCUACCUAUGCCUCUGCAUUGCAUUGAAUUUUCGGCUUAUAUAUGCCGCCGUUGAUGGAAUACUUAGUCUCCAUGCUCUCGGUUUUGAGGUGCGGUGAGGCGUUUCUGCCUCUGGACCCUUCUUGGCCAAAACAGAGGCUAUUCUCCAUCAUUGUUUUGGCCAAUGUUGACCUUAUAAUCACCUGCAGGACUCCGUUUGGGUACAAAUUGGACUCCAAUUGGCUCGAGCAAAGUUGCAAUAGAAACUCUCUGUGGUUUUCCAUAGGUGGAGAGUUUGUGACAGUGAGUGAUGGAGGAGAGUGUAGGCGUGAGAGUGAGAAAGAGGAUGAGAGGCUGUUCUGUUAUGUAAUGUACAGUUCGGGCUCGACGGGGAAGCCGAAAGGUGUUUGUGGCACUGAACAAGGUCUUUGGAAUCGGUUUCUGUGGAUGCAAGAAUUGUAUCCACUGAAUGGAGAGGAGGUUUUGUUGUUCAAGACAGCAAUAAGCUUUGUUGAUCACUUUCAAGCAUUUCUUAACGCUAUUCUUACUGGUUUUGCUUUGGUUAUACCUCCUUUCAAUCAACUUAAACAGAAUGUGUUCUCCAUUGUGGAUUUUCUACAGGAGAUAGAACUAAUGUAAUGUGGAACCUGAAUAAGCUGCAACACAUCCAGAAUUUAAAUUAUUCCUAUUCUGGAGGUGUAGUCUUGGCUUCUCAAGAUGGGAAGAUUGUGCGUGACAACACUCUCGACGCACGAUUGGAUGUUGUAUUCAGUAUUCUGUAAAAAACUUCCUGAGAUCCUCAUAAGGCUUUUUAAUCAGGUUGUUGCAUAAUGGGAAGAAUUAUAUUUCAAGUCAUUAGUUCCUAGCAUGGUCUUUGACCAAAGGAUCUAUUGUUCAGUUGUUUAUUUAUGUAUUUCCAAUUUUCAUGUUCUCUGAAGAACUUUCGUGGUAAAUUAGCAAAUUAGCUUUCUAGAAAUAGUACAGUGCCUGUAUAACAUUUCAUGUCACUGGCCAGGUCACAUUGCAUGUCACUGACCACGUCACUAUUAUACAAAUGUCACUGACCAUUGUAUUUGAGAUACUAAUUUUUUGACAUAUUGC